CAAGCCCUGCAGUGUACGUGGUUGUCGAGGAAGUUUUGAGCCGACACUCAAAAUUGAUGGUGUCUUUCUUGGAUUGUCCAAGUGGCAGCCCAUCUGAUCAGGUUUAGACCUGCUUGGAAGGGAUUCGCGAGGGCAGGCAGUGGACACCGCCCUGGUUUUCUAGGGUUCAAAAACUCGGUAGGCACACGGCACAGGCGGGGCUUUU
RNAcentral lists this non-coding RNA (205 nucleotides) under Armatimonadota bacterium. RNAcentral's name for it is "Armatimonadetes bacterium (anaerobic digester metagenome) 6S RNA". It matches the Rfam family "6S / SsrS RNA". From Rfam's summary of the family: E. coli 6S RNA was the first non coding RNA to be sequenced, but its function was unknown until recently. It consists of 184 nucleotides that fold into an extended hairpin structure with a large single-stranded internal bulge. Lineage: Bacteria; Bacillati; Armatimonadota. The record is from RNAcentral.